Nicotiana attenuata is the source of this 874-nucleotide long non-coding RNA. RefSeq lists it as uncharacterized. The record is from RefSeq and is a predicted model, not a curated record. The transcript has 3 exons. NCBI's taxonomy places the organism in Eukaryota, Viridiplantae, Streptophyta, Magnoliopsida, Solanales, Solanaceae.
CACAUUCUUGUAGCACCCAUGACCCCAGAACAAUAUCACAUUCUUGUAGCACCCAUGACCCCAGAACAAUAGGGUUCUUAGCCACUCAUGUUCAUACAAUCAUCAAAAAUCAUGUUUUCAAACAUAGAAUCAAUGAUAUUGGAAAAGGAAUGGAAGAAUUGAUCAAAUCCGUGCUCCCGAGUGAUCAAACUUGUUCUCUUAACCUUACAACAUAUAUCAAAAUAUCCCUACACCUUCUCGUAGCUUCGACCCUUUGAAACCCUAACCCCUCCGGCGAGUCACUCCUGCAAGGCACUCUGUCAAGGCUCUAGCACAUCUCUUCAACCUCACAGAGCCUAGGGAAAGUAAUAUUGUGGUAGCGAUGAAGAGUCAAGGUCUGGUUCUUUCAGGUUUCCCUUCUUGAAGGGCGUGCUUUAUGGUGCAAGAGUCCCUUUCCUCUGAGAUCCAUGUAGCUGCCACCAGCUGAAGUGAGACCAUCAAUGUUCUCUCUGCUUGGUGUGGUUGAUGAAGAGGAUACGGGAGAAGAAGAAAGUGAUGAAAAAGAGAUUAAAAUGACUAAUGAAUGCUACUACGAAGAUGGAUCUUCAGAUGUAGACAUAGGUGGUGGUGAAGGCUAGUAUUCCCCGAGAGGCAAUUUAUUUUCGAAAAUAAUACAGAGAGGAAAAGCUCUUGAGGUAGAUCGGAUGAGCAAAGAGUGGAUGAAAGCGGCAAAAAUAUUGCUUAGAGUUAUGGAAUUAUUUUGAAUGUAUCAAGAUAUUUUAGGAAUAUUUUAUUUUGGAUUUUCAAUACUUUGAGAGCUUAUGUAUGCUUUUGAAUUUUUAGACAAUAGUAUAAAGUUUGUUUUUAUGGAAAGUCUAAAUAAAUUGUUGCAAUA